RNAcentral lists this long non-coding RNA (1246 nucleotides) under Theobroma cacao (cacao). Its description in RNAcentral is "long non-coding RNA (TCAC_LNC006421)". The record is from RNAcentral. Lineage: Eukaryota; Viridiplantae; Streptophyta; Magnoliopsida; Malvales; Malvaceae.
CCAAACCAAGAACAAAGAAGAACAAAAGAAGAAAAGGAAGAGAACAAACCCUAGGUGGAAAAAUUCAAGGAAAAAGUGUGAAAAUUCAAGGAAACAAGUGAAAAAAAGGUAAAAUUUUUCAAUUUAGCUUGAGAUCUUUCUUUCCCAUGCAUUUCUCCUCAUUUUUCAUAGUUAAAUUACAUGUUUUCAUUAUGAAUUCAUGGCUGGUCGGAAUGGGUAUGGAGAGAGAAUGAUAUUAGAUUGAUUUGAUUUCAAGUUAUGUUAGUGUUUUUAGUUAGUUUACCAUGUCUAGAAGCAAAACAAUAAGAAAAGAAUCUAUUUUCCCCAUGAAUCUUCAUUGACCGAAUCUUCCUUGAUGUGUGUGGGUGAUGGAUUGUUAUUAUUUCAAGAGAAAUGGCUUAGAAAAUGAUGAAUAAUGGUGAGAAAAUUAAGUAGGAAAAAUCACGGUGUUAAUGCACCGUUAGUGACCGAAAAAUUUAAGAAGAAAAGUGAAGAUGGUUUUGCCAAUUUUAGGUUUUUUGACUUGUGUUUGGUGAAUUAAGGUAUUGGAAAAGAAAUGGAGCAAUUUGGAGCUAAUAUGGAUGCAUUGACCAAUUAAUCGGGUGAUAAGAUGAAUUAGGCCAAUACCGGGGAUUAGUUGGUUACCUGUGCAUUUUGAAUUCCAUAUCAUGCAUUAGUAGUCUAAAUUAGUUUAAUUUCGAUUUAGUACCAAAGUAGUAAGUUUCUCGAUUUUGUACUAUGUCAAGGUGGUGAGUCCUCCGAUAAAGGCAAGAAAAUUGCAUUCGAGGACCAAUAGUUAGAGUACUUCGAAAAUUCGUACUCUACACAUUGUGAGUAACCUUACUAUCGUCUUAAUUAUCUAAAGUAGUUUUUAUCCGAUUUUGUGAAUUUUAUGGAAAAUGAAUUAAAUGAUUAAUUUUUCAGUUUUAUAAACCAAAUGUGAUUUAGUGAAAUGAUUUCAUAAAAUUGUUUUGGAAUUGAAUGAUGAUUUUGAAAAUAGAGUAAAUGGAGACCCCUGAUGUGUUGUAAAUUUAUGAUCUGAAUUGAUGGCUUAGGUAAAUGUGUUGACAUGACUGGUUGGGUUAUGUUUUUGGUGAACUGUAUGAAUUGUUCUGUUUUACAUUUACAAGUUGGGUAGUAUAAUAUUAGUCACGUCAUGUUGUCAAAAUUUUAUUGUAUGGUGGGUAUUGCUUGCUGCAGUGGGCUAGGUUUUGUGGACUAGCCUAUUAGAGGGGCACCAAAUCCU